UGGAGAGUUUGAUCCUGGCUCAGAUUGAACGCUGGCGGCAGGCCUAACACAUGCAAGUCGAGCGGUARCACAGAGAGCUUGCUCUCGGGUGACGAGCGGCGGACGGGUGAGUAAUGUCUGGGAAACUGCCUGAUGGAGGGGGAUAACUACUGGAAACGGUAGCUAAUACCGCAUAACGUCGCAAGACCAAAGAGGGGGACCUUCGGGCCUCUUGCCAUCAGAUGUGCCCAGAUGGGAUUAGCUAGUAGGUGGGGUAACGGCUCACCUAGGCGACGAUCCCUAGCUGGUCUGAGAGGAUGACCAGCCACACUGGAACUGAGACACGGUCCAGACUCCUACGGGAGGCAGCAGUGGGGAAUAUUGCACAAUGGGCGCAAGCCUGAUGCAGCCAUGCCGCGUGUAUGAAGAAGGCCUUCGGGUUGUAAAGUACUUUCAGCGGGGAGGAAGGYGWUGAGGUUAAUAACCUYGKCGAUUGACGUUACCCGCAGAAGAAGCACCGGCUAACUCCGUGCCAGCAGCCGCGGUA
RNAcentral lists this ribosomal RNA (526 nucleotides) under Enterobacter cancerogenus. Its description in RNAcentral is "bacterial SSU rRNA". It matches the Rfam family "Bacterial small subunit ribosomal RNA", at positions 1 to 522 of the family's 1533-position model. Lineage: Bacteria; Pseudomonadati; Pseudomonadota; Gammaproteobacteria; Enterobacterales; Enterobacteriaceae. The record is from RNAcentral.